RNAcentral lists this ribosomal RNA (476 nucleotides) under Neisseria mucosa. RNAcentral's name for it is "bacterial SSU rRNA". It matches the Rfam family "Bacterial small subunit ribosomal RNA", at positions 30 to 497 of the family's 1533-position model. Lineage: Bacteria; Pseudomonadati; Pseudomonadota; Betaproteobacteria; Neisseriales; Neisseriaceae. The record is from RNAcentral.
AUUGAACGCGGCGGCAUGCUUUACACAUGCAAGUCGGACGGCAGCACAGAGAAGCUUGCUUCUUGGGUGGCGAGUGGCGAACGGGUGAGUAACAUAUCGGAACGUACCGAGCAGUGGGGGAUAACUAAUCGAAAGAUUAGCUAAUACCGCAUAUAUUCUGAGGAAGAAAGCAGGGGACCAUUUGGCCUUGCGCUGUUUGAGCGGCCGAUAUUGAUAGCUAGUUGGUGGGGUAAAGGCCUACCAAGGCGACGAUCAGUAGCGGGUCUGAGAGGAUGAUCCGCCACACUGGGACUGAGACACGGCCCAGACUCCUACGGGAGGCAGCAGUGGGGAAUUUUGGACAAUGGGCGCAAGCCUGAUCCAGCCAUGCCGCGUGUCUGAAGAAGGCCUUCGGGUUGUAAAGGACUUUUGUCAGGGAAGAAAAGGGCGGGGUUAAUACCCCUGUCUGAUGACGUACCUGAAGAAUAAGCCCCGCA